This 1284-nucleotide ribosomal RNA is filed under the name Leucrocuta aphrodite. RNAcentral's name for it is "16S ribosomal RNA". It matches the Rfam family "Bacterial large subunit ribosomal RNA", at positions 182 to 2779 of the family's 2925-position model. The record is from RNAcentral. Lineage: Eukaryota; Metazoa; Arthropoda; Insecta; Ephemeroptera; Heptageniidae.
AACAUUAUUUAGCAUCAACAAAUAGAAGGUAGGGUAAGGUAAGUAAAACAAUAUUAAAUAAAAGGUUUAGUAGAAGGUAUCAAUUAAAUCGUUAGUGCAGUAAUAUCAGUACCGUGAGGGAAGUUUGAAAUAAUUGAAAAUAAGGUUUAAUAGGGAAGUAGACUAAGUGUCGUACCUUUUGUAUCAGGGUUUAUUAAAUAAAAAUGUUGAAACAAUAAUCUCGAUAUAAGGAGAGCUAAUCCAAUAAUUAAACUAAGGUUGUAGACUUAUGUAGAAUAUUGAUUUAGUGAUGAAAUGUUAACCGAUCCUUGGGGUUUCUAGUUCUUUAAGAAAUGAAUUUAAUUCAGAAGUUGUUAGAAACAAAGAUAUUUAAUCUAGGUUUUAUGAAAGCUUUAAUGGUUUGGGGGAUAAGCUUCGAAUCAUAAUUAAAACUUAACUAAGGGGGAAAUAAGUAGGCUUGAAAGUAGCCAACAAUUAAGGAUGUUAUAGUUUAUUUCCUGGGGUGUUAAUUUUAUUUAGUUUAAUUUAAGUAUUAAAGAAUUAUUUAGAACUUAUUUGAAUAAGGUAUAAUGAUAUAAUAAUUACAGGAGUUACAAGCGAGGUAAAGUUUUAGUAAGGAACUCGGCAAAUAUAAUGCUCGCCUGUUUAUCAAAAACAUCGCCUUUUGAAAGUAUAGAAGGUCUAGCCUGCCCACUGAGUAGUUAAAGGGCCGCGGUAUUUUGACCGUGCAAAGGUAGCAUAGUCAUUAGUCUUCUAAUUAAAGGCUGGAAUGAAUGGUUGGACGGGGUAUUAGCUGUCUCACUAAAAUAAGCUGUAAUUUAACUUUUUAGUCAAAAGGCUGAAAUAUAAUUGGAGGACGAGAAGACCCUAUAGAUCUUGACAUUAUAUUUGUUUAAGUUGUUUGGGUGGGUUAUAGUUUUAUAAAGUAAAUGUUUCGUUGGGGUGACGGGAAGAUGAAAUAAACUCUUUCUAAUUUGUACCAUAGCUGCAUGAAUAAUUGAUCCGUAGUUAACGAUUAUAAGACUAAGUUACCUUAGGGAUAACAGCGUAAUCUUUUUUGAGAGUUCUAAUCGACAAAAAGGGUUGCGACCUCGAUGUUGGACUAAGGGUUAUUCUUGGGUGUAGCAGCUCAAGGUUUAGGUCUGUUCGACCUUUGAAUCCUUACAUGAUCUGAGUUCAGACCGGCGUAAGCCAGGUCGGUUUCUAUCCUCAAUUAAGUUAAUAUUUUAGUACGAAAGGACCAAAUAUUAAAGAUAAAUCUUUAGUGAAUGAAUUCCAUUAAUA